Molecule: small RNA, 659 nt
Filed under: Pongo abelii (Sumatran orangutan)
Lineage: Eukaryota; Metazoa; Chordata; Mammalia; Primates; Hominidae
Description: processed transcript
Source: RNAcentral
GUAGGGAAGUGGAAAAGUGGAGCCUGCACCGCCCGCUUUCUGCACCCCCGGACACCGCCCCGGUCUCACGCAUGCGCAGGCCGAUCCAGUUCUUUUCGGCUGGAAUGGGGAAUUUGUGAGGUCAAGGAUGCAUUCCAGGAAAGUUCCAUAAAAAUAUACCAUCAACUCCAACCUGAUAUUUGACCUAGCUGUGGAAAACCUCAUUGGCUCCUCACUAGAUCAGACCAUAAAAAUGAUUCAGGAAUGAAAAUCUAAGAUAAAUUCCCACCACUUCAAGAUGUUCUUAUACAAGUCAACAGUCUAGCAGAUCAGCCAGUCUCUUUCAUCAUCAAGCAGACAUACUCAAGAAAGAGGAAUAGUGAAGUGAAAUAUACAGAAGCAUGUUCAAGUUCAUCUGUUGAAUGUGGAAUUGUGAAUAGUGACAAUAUUGAGAAAAAUACUGACUCCAAUCUGCAAACUUCAACUUCAUUUGAGCCACAUUUCAAAAAAAAAAAAGUAAGUGCAAGACGUUAUAAUGAAGAUUACUUAAAAUAUGGCUUUAUCAAAUGUGAAAAACCCUUUGAAAAUGACAGACCUCAGUGUGUUAUUUGUAAUAAUAUUCUUGCGAAUGAAAGCUUAAAACCUUCGAAAUUAAAAAGGCACUUAGAAACUCAGCAUGC